AUUUGGGCAGCUCUAAGAGUAUUAUUUUGAAGCAAUAAAGGAAGAAUUAUUCUCCCAAAUA
This 61-nucleotide transfer RNA is filed under the name Metacrangonyx sp. 3 ssp. 1 MDMBR-2012. RNAcentral's name for it is "transfer RNA Phenylalanine". The record is from RNAcentral. Lineage: Eukaryota; Metazoa; Arthropoda; Malacostraca; Amphipoda; Metacrangonyctidae.